This 479-nucleotide unclassified non-coding RNA is filed under the name Hevea brasiliensis (rubber tree). The record is from RNAcentral. Lineage: Eukaryota; Viridiplantae; Streptophyta; Magnoliopsida; Malpighiales; Euphorbiaceae.
UGACAUUGUGGACUUCAUUACAGAAACCUGGCCAGAUGUUCCAGAGUCCGCAAUAUUCUUCAUAGAAGACGGAAAAAAGGUUCCAGCUGCAUAAACUACGGAGAUGACAUCCCUGUUCCCAGCAGAGUGUUUCCCAAGCAAAUGCUCGUAGCACUGUGUUCGUUGAAAUUUGAGGUGAGAAUAUGUGUUGGCUCUAUAGAUGUGGCUACUAUGGUUCCACCCUCUAUAUAGCAAAUAAUAUAAAAAAGCAAAGAAACACGUCGUAUCACAUAAUGUCGUCCAUUCUUGGUGAAGGUUCAUGUAAUCAAUCGAUCAGACUUGCUUGAGAUAGAGGCGUAGUUGUGUUUUUGGCAUUUUGAGCACAUCCAAUCACCAAUGGCUUUUGAUGUGAAGUCAAUUUUGUUGAACCAAAAAAAUUACAUUUGUAACCCCACCUAGUUUAUGUUUCACAUGCCUAAUUAAAAUUUUAUUAACAAAAA